Olea europaea var. sylvestris is the source of this 1335-nucleotide long non-coding RNA. RefSeq lists it as uncharacterized. NCBI's taxonomy places the organism in Eukaryota, Viridiplantae, Streptophyta, Magnoliopsida, Lamiales, Oleaceae. The transcript is spliced from 3 exons. The record is from RefSeq and is a predicted model, not a curated record.
UGAUUUUUGAGAUUUUUCAUUCCACACGCUUCUUCCAACGCAAACCCUAGCAUGGACUCUCCUAUGUUUUUCACAUCUCCAAUCUUCCAAAGCUAUCUAUAAGGUGUCAUCUCCAAAUGAAUCUCUCCUCUUCUAGAUAAGCCGAACACAGUCACUCAGAAGGCCUCAAGUACUCUAUCGUUGGGCUCGCAUAUGAACAGGCGCUUCAUUUCCUUGCUUCGACGAACUACCGUGGGGAUUUGGCUCUAAAGCCAUCGUCCUUGAAGCAAGUCAAGGAAUACUGUUAUCUGUACAGCCUUCUCGAGCUGCAGAGCUCUUUUCAUACUUGGUUGAGCUUCAGACUUUCCCUGAAACACUCUUUCGUGUACAAGACACGUCAUUUGCACCCCUAAAGAUCUUGUUUUCAGAUUGAAGGGUGGCUAUGGUAUUGGGGACCAUCGAUUGGUAAUCAGAUUACAUCACCCUGUGCCACAGUGAAUUAUUAUGUAAAUUUCAACCUACCAUUUCCUUCUUGAUUUUAUCAAAGGAAGUUUGGAAGUCUCAGCAAGGAAUUUUUUCCCAUCGGUUUGUAUGUCUUUGACUUCUUUUGCUUUUUAACAUAUUGAUCGUUUUCAAUUUCCGUUGCAGGUAGAAUGGGGUUAUGUAGAAUACUAUAAAUCUUGAUUAUUAUUUGAUUUAUUGACUAUCAAAUUUUACUUUUGGACUGCUUUUUGAAUAGUGUUGCGCUAAUGAUCACAUUUUUUUUUUGUUGUUAAAGAUAUGUUGGUUGUCACAAGUUGAUUUUAUAUUGUUCAUUUUGGAUGCAAUUGACAGUUUAGAAUUUGUUUACUGGGAAAUGGACAUUUUGAUAACUGGGUUGAUUUUGGGGUGGUGACACAUGAUAGAGAAGCAGAUGGACCCAGGUAAAAUUUAGCUCUUAUUGAAAACAAUCAAAAUUCCUUUCCAUUGAAAUUCAUAUUUGAGGAUAAGGAACUUCCCAUCUCCACUAGAGAAAUCAGAAUGAGAGAUAGAACUUGAAUCUCUUUUUUGUGAUUCAAAUUCUUUCUUGAUUUGAUUUCAGAAAAUGGACAAGGGACAGUGACCAAAGGUGCAAUCAUUGUAGCUGAGAAAGGAGUUUCUCUGUGUCGUUGAUAUACAACUUAUGUCUUUUUUUUGUAUGUUCACCUAUUAGUGAUUUGCAACAGUGAAAUUGUAAUACAAGUUUGUAAAGCUAUUCUUUGUUAACACUAAAUUCUUAGAGCAUAUUGAUAUGUGUCAGACAAGUAUUGAGUUUCAAGAAUAUUAGUGGUUGAUCCUCUUUGGAAAGUUAUUCUAUAAAUGAAUAUUUGAAAUUAA